UCACCUACCCUACCACAUUUCUACCACUGUGGCCGAGCUGCGGUCUCUGAUUUCACCACCAACCGCAGCGAGGCGAGCCGCGGAGGCGCAAGCUCCGGCUCCAGCCUCCAGCACGCGGCGGUGCCUCUUCUUUCUGUCUUCCAGCCCGGCAGGAGAAGCUCUCGCUGCUAGCCUCCCUCCUACCGCUCCGUCACCACCACCACCAACAGGGAGGGAGUGCCCCAGGCUCCAGGCUCCAAGCUCCAGGCUCCAGGGGGCGAAAAGUGACGGAGCCUUCCAGUUCUUUAAGCCGGGUGAGAUAUUCCUGCACAUCCUCUGGUGACCCCAGAAUGAGGGGGACUCGCUGGUGAAUUGCCUCGGGCUUCACGUCCAGUACAGGCUGGGUCCCCGUGGUCGCCAAGCCUCCUGCCUGCUCAAUGAUGUAGGCCACGGGAUUGCAUUCAUACAGGAGCCGGAGCUGUGGAGGAACAGAGGCAGGACAAAUUCACCAAGAGCCUAGCAACAUGAAGAGAGAUGCCAGGAAGAAGAGAGAAGCCAGGAAACAAGCCAACCGCACAAUCCCCACAUCAGAGCAGGAGAAGAUGGGGGCCUGCUGGCAGAGCUGGGGCUUGGCUGUGGUCACUCUGAACCUGCUCUUUGGUGUUUUCAUGAGUGGUGGGAAGAAUAGGGACCAUAUGGAGCCCACACAGGAAGCUCUAGCAGUAACACAGCAAGCAGGAAGACAAUUCUAAGGAAGCAGCCCAUAGUCUUCUUUCUUUUCCUGUGCAUCUUCCACUGUCAGUGAGGCUCCUCAUUUAUGGUGAACCCAACUGUGUGUAUCUCCCAAGUUCUCACCCGCAGAUUAAUGUUUUCAGGAAGAUAGGCCAUCAACAGUGAGAGGAAGAAGUUACAUUGUCGUAUGAGGGAUGCAUUUUAACCAUUAAUUUGUGGUACAGGCUGGGCGCAGUGGCUUAUGCAUGUAAUCCCAGCACUUUGGGAGGCCGAGGUGGGUGGAUCACGAGGUCAGGAGAUCGAGACCAUCCUGGCUAACAUGGUGAAACCCCGUCUUUACUAAAUAUACAAAAAAUUGGCCGGGCGUGGUGGUGGGCACCUGUAGUCCCAGCUACUCGGGGGGCUGAGGCAGGAGAAUGGUGUGAACCCGGGAGGCAGAGCUUGCAGUGAGCCGAGAUCGCGCCACUGCACUCCAGCCUGGAUGACAGAGCAAGACUCCAUCUCAAAAAAAAAAAAAAUGUGUGGUACAGUUAUUUUGUUUAUGUUAGUGAUUCAAUCAUAGAAACUAUUCAGUUUCUGGUAUCCCACUCUUACCUGGAGAAAAGAGGAAGCCGCUUUCAUCAGACACUGUGUUCACCCAGCGUAAGGAAAAAGUUGGUAAAAUCUAAAGGAAUCCUCAGACAUAUUAAUAAAAGUGUGCCCAGUCCCUCUCCACAACCCAUGUAGCCACUGUGGUCAGUACCUGCAGGGCAUCUCUCAAAUACCCCUAUGUCUAGUUCUGGUGAUAUCAGUCACUAAAAAUGGGAUCAGCUUGUGGCAGAUACCACCUUAAAUGCUCAUGUCUGUCUCAGUCACUAGGAGGAAAACCAGAGCCUGGAAACCAGAUCCAUUUUGAUGAAUGUCCAAGAUUUUGAGAGUGAAAAACUCCAAAAUGACAGCUCACAGUUGGCAGCUAGGCCAGAAGGUUCCCAAGGAACAUCAGAGGUAUUCCCGGAAUAUAAAGAGGCAAGGCCACAGAAUGACUCCACAUAGCAGAGGUGUUGCUACGAGAGGUGACACUGUCCCUGUCAGAAACAAGUCAGUGCCAAGGAGACUCAAUAACAAAAACAACUAAACAAUCCUUUCCUGCCUAACAUGAGUGACAACUGCUUCUAUAUCAGUGACUUCAAUCUCUCUGCCUCCUAGAUAAAAAUGAUUAAGGUAACUAGUCAUUAAUUGCACCCACUUCCAGACAAUAUCCAAUCCAGACUGACCCUCUCUUCCUCAAAUCCUCUUUAGAAUUACCAAGCAAAACCCCAAGUCCUAUAAGCCCAUCUCAACUCCCUCCUUAUGCAACACCCCAUGGUUCCUCUGCAGUGCCUGCUAAAUCUAACUUCGGGUUAUUACAGGUGCACGAGUGAUGGUCUUUGACUCAUGACCUUUAACUUGCUGUGGGUGUCUGUUGCUUUGGAGCAGCCCAGCGCUGAUUUCUACUUCUGAAAAGUGCCCUGACUUGCUUUGAAUUGGAUGCCAGUCUAGGAAGACUCAUAUCUGGGCCUCUUGUAGGCCAAGGUCAGGCAUGUACCUUAGCUUGAAAAUGAGAUACGCCUCCCUAGGAUUUGAAACCUGAGUGAGAGGCGCAGCACUGGGGGUGGUGUCCAGGCCAGACCGGCCAUGUUGCGAGACCACUGCCGUGCUUCCUGCUUCCUGGUCCUCUAGUCCUGCCCGUUCCUAGCCAGGGUCCUCAGCUUUCCCAUCAAUGCAGUAACUCCUUUCACUUAAUUGAGCCGGGGUCAAUUUUGCUGUUGCUUUCCAGCAAAGAGGAUGGAGAUGCACAACUGUCAUCUGAACAGUGGCACUCACUCACCACCUGAACAGAGGCGCUCAUUCUGCAUCAGGGCGGGUGAAAACGCCUUACGUUGAUCCACUCCUGGGGCUGGGGCCGGGACACUCAGGCCCUGGGAAUAUUGUUUCCACAGUUUUAUUAACCUGGAAAAUGUGUUCCUUUGUUCUGAUUGUGUGGUCACCAACAACGGCUGAUUUUUAAUAUGGGCUCUCAUACACCCUGUUACCGAUUAUCAGACACCAGAUCCUGGUCACAAGAAACAACAGCUCCCAUUUGUAAAUGAAUGCCUUGACAUUGAGCUUUACCCACAAUGGAGAGUUGGUUAACAGGAGGUGGUCUCUCUGUGCCUGAACAAUAUGUGUGUUCUGACAAAAUCAAAUCACCAGCCCUGCAAUCCCACAGACCUCACAGGCUCAGUUUGACCCACCAGGGAAUGCUGCCUCCAUAAGCUACUGGCCGCCUUCCAUGGCAUUUCUAUCUGUGACAACUGCCACAAGCUACCUCCGCUGGAUGUCAAACAGGCACUAAGCUUUGUGCACUGGGUCUUUGCUCAAAUGUCCUUUUUAGUAGGGAGAUGUGAUCCAAAGGGGUUUCAGGCUAAUACAUAGAGAUCCGGAAAGAUGCUAUGGUUCAUCUCUUCCUUCUGUCAUGUUGACAAGCUCUGGUGCCCACCUAUGUCCAGACUGGGCCCUGCUUUCAUGACUGAGGGCAGAAAACAGAGGCUCUGUCUGUGCCUGGGAAUCUUUGAAUUGGGUCCCUGAGUCAAAGCAUCUCCCAUCACCUUUAGAACUGCUCAGAAUGUUCAUGGAGAUAUUUUGCUUGUACUCAAGAGCAGUUGUGUUGGAAAUUUAGUGUGGUAGAGUAAUUAAAGCACAGACUGCUGGAGCAUGACUCCUGACACCAGUCACUAGCUUGACCUUGCGCAAGUUACUCACUCUCUCUACGCCUCACUUUCCCCAUCUGAAAAUGGGAAUAAUUGUAGGACAUAUCUCAUAGGGCCACUGUGACAUUUAAAUGCAUUAAUAGAUGUAAAUUUCAUAGGACAGGUACUUUACAUUCCUACCACUUACGAAGAAUUAUCUAACUCUUAGCUGUUAUUCUACAACAACUUUAGAAAGGGUGUUUUAUUGUCUGAGGGUAAUAUUUGCAAGCCAUAGAAUUUCUCAGGGUUUGCCAGCUUCUUUGAACAUAAAGGGAAAUUGGGGCAUUAGCAAACUGACACAGCAAUGGGUCUUGGUCUAAUGGGCAUACAGGUGAAAAGAUUCUAUUUGAAAAGUUUCUGGGUUUCCAUACUGUAAACUCUGUUUUGUAAGUUAACUCCAUGUCAUUUUGAAAUUUUGCAAACCCCUCUCUCCACACAUGUGCACUAACACGUGAACUCCACAAGGGCUGUCAUGUGUGUUUGAUCAAUGCUCCAUCUCCGCUGUCUGGAGUGGUGCUUUGGGACACAGUAGAUGCUCAAUAAACAGCUGUAAAUCAAAAACUUAAAUACUUAACCUUUUGGUCUAAGUGAACAAGAGGUUUUGACGUGUUCUUUGGUGGAUAUUAUCUGAGUUUUCACAAGACCUCAGUAUACUUGGCAAAGCAUUUCACAAUUGAUGGGCAAGCCAUCCAGCAUUUAAAAGUGAAAUUCAUGGAGCAUUCUACUGGAUGGUGCUGCUCUAACGAACCCAUGCUUCUGCUGGAAAUUUGCAGCAUUGUGAUUCUUAAAUCAUGGCAUUCUCAUAAGCCAAAGAGAUUGAGUGCAUUUUUGGAAAAUGAGCUCCUUAAGGAGAGGGCCUGAGUUGAUGCAACUGGCUCUGCAGGACACUCCUCCCCCCGAGUGCCCUCACUGGGACAGAGGCCCUUCAUGGUUUCUGAUGAUGGUUUUGGCUCCCCAAACUAGGCUCUCAGGACCCCUGGUCCCCAAAACAAGUAUUAGGAAUAACCAGGACAUUAUCGCAGAGAACUGGCAUUAAGGCACAGAGGCCCAUGGAGUCCCCAGGCACAGAUGAUGCCAUAUUCUGUACCUACCGGGUCAAGCAUGAAGAGGUCCACGCCUUGCCCUGUGGAGAGAGCCACCAGGGUUGCACUACCGUACAGCGCAUAACCUGCGGCCACAAUAUUGCGGCCACACUGCAGGGCAUCCUUUUCAGAAGGCUCAUCCUCUGAGGUCUGUGGAAGAGAGGGAUAAAUGCCAUGUGUUAUUGUUGUCUCUGGAGAGAACACUUUGCCAGGGGCCUGGGCUUCAGAUCUCCUCGAAUCACUGAAGGAAGCGCGGUUCUUUGAAUUUUAAGCUGCUGCAAAUCCAUCCAGAGGAAACGAGUGGCCAUGUUGCCAACAGUUCUAGCUGAGCCAUGGCAAAGGCCAUUCUUGGACUUCUUCCUUCCUGUUUUCCAAACGCAUGUGUCUGUAGCCUGACAAGAAAAGCACUCCCAGAUGCUAAAACCGUAGCCCCUCUUCAUCAUAAGCCAUGUUCCCAAGCCACGAUACUCACAACUCAGAUCACUGAGCUGAGCGUGCAGUGUCUCACUCUGCACACUCAACAGCCCUUUGGGGCAGAUAGCACCAUCACCUCCAUGGCUCAGAGGGAGAACUCUGAGAGCAAAACCACCUAAGAUUAACAACCUACUGCAGCUGGAGCGGCUGCACAACUCGCCCAGCAGCAGGAAGCCCUGAUUCUGCCUUUCUCUCUGACUCUGUGGAUGCUCCUUCUCACUUGCCUCUCUUCCCGGCAGCACCUCUUCCUCUGAUUCCUUAAAUGUUGGUGCUCCUUCUGGUCCUUCUGUGGCCCUUGGUACAUCCAACCGGUGCAAAAUGAUUCUUCCUCACCCCCUUAUCCAAAAUGGGGACUCUUAGCUGCUACAUUUGUAUUGAGUUACCCCGUCUCCCACGACACACACACACGCACACUUAUUUGAUGGGGUCAAGGAUAGAUUCAUAGAUUAGUGAUUCAAACUGGCCCAAUGUGAGUCUCUCCUCCAGAAACCUAGAACUGGAGUACAGCAUUGUUGUGAUGUACGUAGAAGCUUUGUAAACCCGAAUGUUCUUGCCUCCAUGUUCUGACCUCAUGGUCUGGUCUUCCAGCGCUUGACGCCAUGAGCACUCAGAGCUGCUUCUCUGAAGCUCCCAACACAUUUUCAUUCACGGGCUUAGUGUCUGACUUCCCAGCUAGACUGUGAGCAACUUGGUGGCAAGUACCAACUCCGUCUUGUUCCUGUCUGUUUACCCAUCACCUAGCACAAUCCAGUCCACAGAUAUUGCAUUUAAUUCACACACACACACAACACACACAUGAGUUUACACACACACAUAUAUACAUGCAUACAUGCAGUGAUUUUCAGCAUAAGAAUCCUAUACACAUUUUUUGGAUUUAUACUGUUCCAUUUUUUGUGUGAUUGUAAAUAGCACAUAUUUUAAAAUGUAAUUAUAAUUACGAAUUAGUUUAUUGCUAAUAUAUAGAAAUCUAGUUGAUUUUGUAUCUUGAUCUUGUAUCCUGUGACCUUGCUAAACUCACUAGUUCUAGAAGUGUUUUGGUUUUCUGUUUGUAGGUUCCUUGGGAUUUUCUACAUAGACCAUCAUGUCGUCUGCAAGAACAGUGUUAUUACCUGCUUUCCAAUCUGUAUGUGUUUCAUCAUCUUCCUUGCCUUAUUGUGCUGGCUACAACUUUCAGGAUUACAUAUGUUGGGUAACAGUGGCGAGUGAGGACAUCCUUGCUUUGUUACUGAUCUUAGAGUAUAAGCAUUCAGUCUUUCACCAUUAAAUGUAAUGCUAGCUGUAGAUGUACUUGAUAGAGUUAAGGGACGCUCCUCCUCUAUUUCUUGUUUUCUAAGACUUUCUGUUUUUUCAGAGACAGGGUCUUGCUCUGUUGCCCAGGGUGGAGUGCAGUGGCUUGGUCAUGGCUCACUGCAGCCUCCAACUCCUGGGCUUAAGUCAUCCUCCCAUCUCAACUUCUUGAGUAGCUGGGACUACGGGUAUGCACUACCACCCCCCUCUCCAGCUAAUGUCUUUUUUGAGAUGGGGGUCUUGCUAUGUUGCCCAGGCUGGUCUCAAACUCCUGGCCUCAAGCAAUCCUCCUACCUCAGCAAGUUUCUUUUUUAAAUAAUGAAUGAGUGUUGAAUUUGUUCAAAUGUUUUUUCUCCAUCAAUAGAUACGAUUAUGUGAUUUUUCUUCUUUAGCCUGUUGAUAUGGUGGAUUACACUGACUGAUUAUGAAUACUGGAUCAGUCUUCCAUCACCAGAAUAAACCCCACUCAGCCAUGGUGUAUAAUUUAUUUUAUGUAUUGUUGAAUUCUAUUUGCCAAUAUUUUGUUAAGAGUUUUUGCAUUUAUUGAUAAGGAAUAUUGGUCUGUGGUAUUUUUUUGAACAAUCUUUGUCUGGUUUUUGUAUCAGGAUAACACUGGUUUCAUAAAAUGAAUUGGGAAGUGUUCCUUCCUAUUAUCUUUUCUGGAAGAGACUGAAUAAUCUGUGAAUAUUUGUUAUGUUUUUCCAGUAAACCAUCUGAGCCUGGAGAUUUCUUUUCUUGGGCAUGAGUUUCUUAAUAGUAUUGAGCCCUGUAGAUAGCCAUUCAAAGUAUCUAUUUUAUAUUGGGUGAGUUAGAGUAUUGUAGUUUUUGAGACAUUGGUUCGUUUCAUCUAAGUUGUCAAAUGUAUGCAUGUGGAGUUGUUUCUAAUAUUCUCUUUUUAUCCUUUUGAAAAACAAGGCAACCUGAGAUUAACAAUCUACUGCAUAAAUACACAAUUCUCUGAUCAUUUUCCCAAGAUAAAUUCCCAAUAAUUAAAUAAUUGGGUAAAAAUCUUUUGAUACAUAUUGAAAAAUUGUCCUCCAGAAAGAGUGCAUCAAUUUAUACUUUUACCACUAAUAAUAAGAGAGUUCAUUUUAAUUCAGCCUGGUAAACACAAGAUAGCAUUGUCUUUUCAACUUUGUCAAUUUGACAGGUGGACAAAAUGACAUCUCUUUUGUUUUAACUUCUAUUUUUUAUGAGUCAGGUAAAACCUUUUAUAUGUUUAUUUUGACCAUUUUUAUUUUGUAAGUUGUCUCUUUCAUGUCUUGCUUAUUUUUCUAUCAGGAUAUUCAACUUCUUGUUUAUUUUAAUAGCUCUUUAUAUAUAAAGGAUAUUAAUGUCUUGUAUAUGUCACAAAUAUUUUCCUCGAUUGUCAUUGCCUUCUUAUUUAUGGUGCCUGUUUUUGCAGUGCAGUUUUAAAAUUAAAAUUAUUCAUGACAUUCCAUAUGUUUUCUUCUCUUGUCUUUAUGUUUAGACUGAAUUUCUCCUACAUCAAGACAGGGUGACACAAAUAUUCUUGUCUUUUCUUUCUGGUUUUAUUCCCCACCUCUCUACCAAACUCAUCAACUCAUCUGUAAUUUAUUUCUAUGCAUGGAAAAAAAAGAAUGGUUCAGUUUUUGUAUUUGUCUAACACGGUCCUGAGAUUUCAAAAACCCAGUUUAUAUCAGCAAUCUUCAUUGCCAUGACACCUUUCUCAGUAAAUUUUAUAGUAGUUUGCAAAUGAUUUAGUGCGUCUUUUUAUUUUUUUCUACACCAAUAAAUAUCUGAGCCCAUCAGAUAAGUGGUGCUUCCUACCACUACUUUUUGGUAAAAUUAAUGAAAAUUGCAAGAGCUCCAUGUAUUUGGUGGUAGAAAUUAUGAAAUGUGGACUUUUUUCCUUUUUGUUGAGGUAUAAAGCAUAUAGCAGAGCAUACAAAUCUUAAUGGUACAUCUUGAUAAAUUUUUACAAAUAUAUAAUAUACACUUAUGUGUAUUUAUAGAAUAUUUUACAUAACAUCCAGAUCCAUUUAUAUAACAUUUCCAGCAACCUAGUGGACUUUAAGCCUAGUGAAGCCAGGCCUAGUAGUCUCUUCCAGUCACUAUCACCUCCUGCCAAAGGUAACCUCUAUUCUCACCUUUAUCACCAAAUCUAACUUUAUCUGGUUUGGAACAUCAUCUAAAUGAAAUGACACUGCAUAUGUUCUUUUGUAUGGCUUAUGAUUUUCAAGUUUAUUUCUUUGCAAUUUUACCUAUGUUGUUAUACAUAGCAGUUUGUUCUUUUUCAUUGCUAUGUAGUUUUCUGUUGUAUGACUAUAUCACAAUUUAUUUCUCCAUUCUCAUGUUGAUAUGCAUUUGGAUUUUUCUGGUUUGGGGCUACUAUGACUAAUUUCUCCAUCUUUGGGCAGACACAGAAUUCCUUUCUUCUGUGUGGGUCCCAGGAGUGAAAUUGCUUGGCCAUAGUGUGUAAAUAUCUGUUUAGCAUUAGUAGGUCCUAUCAAAUGUUUUCCAAAGUAGUUAUACUAUUUGAUAGUCCCACCAAUGAGGUAUAAGAAUUCCAGUUUCUUUGCCAACACUUGGUAUGCUUAGUCUUUUUAGAUUUAGCCACUCUGGAAGAGGAGAAUGGUGUCUCACUGUGGUUUUAAUUUCCAUCUUCCUAACGUAACUGGGCAGCUUAACUUCAUAAUAUAUUUUAAAACAUUUUUCCCUUCUCUUGGGUUUCAAGAUAUAACCUUGAAGCAAACUGCAGAAGUCUUUUCUCUUAGCUAUAAAAUAGCUCCCUUUCUCACCAUAUAUACUCCCUGCACAUUUAGCUAACUGCAUGCUAGUAUCUAUUAUGUGCCUUCUUAGAAGUUCCAGGAGGUAAUCUUGAGACGGACAGACCAAGCAUGGAGACCUAGCUGCAAAAUUCCAGAGAUUACUUCCAUGCAGCUAAUUAACAACUCGGCCACUGUUGAGAUGAUGUCAGCCUGAGGUCCAGGUGGACUGGCACCAAAGAUAAUCAUAAAAACAAGACCCAGAGAUACUGUACUCAGCACAAUUCUCUUGCAUGCCCUCCUUAAUCAAGUUUUCCUCUUUUAAACCCCUCCCUUCCCCCGAAAUAGUCAAAGUGGUUGCUUUGAUGGGAAUCUGGCCACUUCCCCUUUACUAGUUGUGGUUAAUAAAGUCACUUUCUAUCUACCAGGCCUCACUCUUGUUAACUGGACUCUGCAGGCAGUGAGCAUGUGGACCUGCAUUCAGUUACAAUUUUAGUGGCCCAUACAGUGUGCUCUGGGGGCCCAAGCCCAUGGUCUGGUUUCUAUUGGACAGGGCCUGUGGGGCUGCCUGUAGGCUCCAGUUGCUUGUGGCUACCUGACCCCUUGGCUGGAAUGCUAGGGAGUCUCCUGCAGCUGCCUAGAUGCUUUUGUCUUGGGGAUCCUCUCUUUCUCUUCCUGCUGCAGUGCCUGCUACCUCCAAUAUUUCACUGGUGCACUGAAAGUGACUUUUAGAGAAGUGACAAACUUUGGAAUUUUGGAACUUUGAAACUUCGGAACUUGGGGUUCAGCCUUGAAGGAGAAAAACAGUUUCCAACAUCAUGGCCUCUGAUUUUGUCAUCUUCUCUGGGACUGGUUACAUAUUCUGGCCCAUUUUUGUGCACAUUUUAAACUGAUGGGCAAAUUACAACAAGAAAAAUUCAGAGUUCAAAUGGUUAACCUACACUGUGGAGUUAAGUAGAAUCUUCUUUAGCUCUCUACCUUCCUCUCUUUUCUGCCUGCUUUAAAUCUGCUGUUAUUAAACUGCUGGCGCGAGACAAGACUCAUUAUUUAUGGUCUAAAUUGAAUAUAAACAUUGAAAACUCAUUUGAAACUGAACAGCAAAAAGGGGAAAAGAUUUAAAAAGAAAAAAACCCAAACUGCCAUAGAGACUGCUUUACCCCAAAUUUUGGCUGCCAGCUUUCCUUGGAUUACCUAUCAGGGCAAACAAAGUUAGCCACGUGGACAGCUUCCAGUUUUGUCAGAAAAACAACUUGAAGCCAGCUUUUAUAGGUCAGUGAGUUUGUGAUGCUAUCUCAUGAUUAGAGUUCUCAGAUAAAAGCUCUUAGACCUUUGUUUGUGUAUGGAUGUAUACAUGUUUAGAUAUGUUUAUGUAAUGUACAUGUUAUAGUUAUGUUCUGUCGUGUCUAGCAUGCUACCAAAUUGGCUUUAUAAGUAAGUGAGUACACAUAAAUUAAGUUCAAAUGCUUUCCAAGUUCGCAUGAAUCUUUGAUAAAUAAAACUGGCUUCAAAAAUUAUUAGUAAAAUAAAAACAAAAAUGCCUUCAGAAUCAUCAGCAUACAUUUGUGUCUAAGCAAAUAAAUUUUGUAUUUGUCUCUGCUAAAUGUUUAAAGUGUCAGGGUUUGGCGCAAAGAUUGUAAGAUUAUAACCCAGCCAAACACAGAGUAAUCUUUGUGUAAUUUUUUUGACAAAUAAGACUAAGUUAGGAUUGUUAGUUCAAUGAAAGCAACUGAAUCCUCUGAGCUAUUGGCAAAAUGACCAUGGAUUUAACUUUGAGGUUCUUACUUAGGUGUUCACCUAAUGUUCGGACUUUUAAAAUGGUUAACAGGGAAAUAACUUUAAAUAAUGACUAACUUUGUAUAAUAUCUGUUUUCAGAAAGAAUCUAGAUAAACUUAAAGAUUAAAAAAUUAAAUACACAUAAAUGAAAUAUGUUUUUUAAGUGAAUUUUUUCUGUAAUUUAAAAUCUUAAAAUUAUUUUAAAUUAAAUAAUAAAUGCUUAUUGGAUGUCUGGUUUACUUCUAAUUUUUUAAAAAUUAUAAUAAAUUAUGG
Molecule: long non-coding RNA, 11077 nt
Filed under: Homo sapiens (human)
Lineage: Eukaryota; Metazoa; Chordata; Mammalia; Primates; Hominidae
Description: HSALNT0152403
Source: RNAcentral